ACGCAAAAGAUAGGUGGAUGUGAUGUUCUAUGCCUAAAGAAUAUGGGCCUAUUUUCACUAUGCGGUGGGCCGAACCCCCAUAUAUGUAAUUGCUACUUUACAAACGGCACGGCUCUCGAAAACCUUCUGAAACCCAAGCCACCUGGUUCUUCAAAUACAACUAUCCCAAGUAUUUCGGCAGACCUUCUUCAUUCGAGAUGUCCAAUAACGAGGAGUCCGUGUGAUUUCUACUGCUUAGUUCUGGGUAGCCCUUUUGGUUACUGCCUACUUGGUCGCCAAAAGUGCCACUGUGUGAGACAUAAAAUCGGAGUGUGCUUUGAAACCCUCAUUUAUGUCACAGCGCAACAAUAGCCUUUUCUAAUACUAUGACGUCCAGCCGUGUUCUCUAGUUCAACGAAUUCUGAAAAAUAAGUGGUACAACCAGUGAAAUGGAACGUGGCAGCCAUCAUAUGCCAUCGUGCUUUCUAACACGGCGAGUGGUUGGAAGAAGAGGACAGGGAAAUACGUCGGUUCUGCUGCCUUAAAAGGAAGCAAGUCUCUGAAUCUGCAGGGUAAUUGGGAGACAAACUUAAAGAUUGAAGAAGGAAAAAAGGCUGGUGUCCGUAGCUGAGGGCGCGCGAGUGCAUUCUACAGACAGUUGCCCAACGUCCCGAAGGAAUUGAAGAAUUGCCUGAAGGCUCGUCAUGGAAGUUGGAAGGAAACAAGAAGUUCCUUUGUGUAGCCACAGGAACGUGAAGAACGAAUGCGAAAC
Rhipicephalus microplus (southern cattle tick) is the source of this 751-nucleotide long non-coding RNA. NCBI's taxonomy places the organism in Eukaryota, Metazoa, Arthropoda, Arachnida, Ixodida, Ixodidae. The record is from RefSeq and is a predicted model, not a curated record.